AAGGAGUCUAACAUACCUGCGAGUGUUUGGGUGUCAAACCCGGACGCGCAAUGAAAGUAAAUGCAGGAGGGAUCCGCAAGGAGCACCUUCGACCGAUCAGGAUCUUCUGUGAUGGAUUUGAGUAAGAGCAUGUAUGCUGGGACCCGAAAGAUGGUGAACUAUGCCUGAAUAGGGCGAAGCCAGGGGAAACUCUGGUGGAGGCUCGUAGCGAUUCUGACGUGCAAAUCGAUCGUCAAAUUUGGGUAUAGGGGCGAAAGACCAAUCGAACCAUCUAGUAGCUGGUUCCUGC
Molecule: unclassified non-coding RNA, 289 nt
Filed under: uncultured fungus
Lineage: Eukaryota; Fungi
Description: partial contains 5.8S rRNA, ITS2 and 28S rRNA
Rfam family: Eukaryotic large subunit ribosomal RNA
Source: RNAcentral